GACGAACGCUGGCGGCGUGCUUAACACAUGCAAGUCGAACGAUGAAGCCGGAGCUUGCUCCGGUGGAUUAGUGGCGAACGGGUGAGUAACACGUGAGCAAUCUGCCCUUGACUCUGGGAUAACUGCGGGAAACUGUAGCUAAUACCGGAUACGACACCUUGGGGCAUCCCAGGGUGUGGAAAGAAUUUCGGUCAAGGAUGAGCUCGCGGCCUAUCAGAUAGUUGGUGAGGUAAUGGCACACCAAGGCGACGACGGGUAGCCGGCCUGAGAGGGUGACCGGCCACACUGGAACUGAGACACGGUCCAGACUCCUACGGGAGGCAGCAGUGGGGAAUAUUGCACAAUGGGCGAAAGCCUGAUGCAGCAACGCCGCGUGAGGGAUGAAGGCCUUCGGGUUGUAAACCUCUUUUAGCAGGGAAGAAGCGAAAGUGACGGUACCUGCAGAAAAAGCACCGGCUAACUACGUGCCAGCAGCCGCAGUAA
RNAcentral lists this ribosomal RNA (483 nucleotides) under uncultured bacterium. RNAcentral describes it as "partial 16S ribosomal RNA". It matches the Rfam family "Bacterial small subunit ribosomal RNA", at positions 28 to 523 of the family's 1533-position model. The record is from RNAcentral.